AUGUUGCGGCAUCGCACCGCAACUAACCAUCAACGCCAUCGUGCCGCCAACAGCGCCCACCUUGCGCCGUCUUGCCGUGGACGACGCUGUCACGGCGUCGAGUACCACGACCUCUUGCCGCAUGCAGCGGCCAUGUCUUCACGUGGACGACGCCUUCGCGGCGCCGAUCGCCACGCCGUCUUCUCCUCAUAA
RNAcentral lists this ribosomal RNA (192 nucleotides) under Triticum aestivum (bread wheat). RNAcentral describes it as "partial small subunit ribosomal RNA". Lineage: Eukaryota; Viridiplantae; Streptophyta; Magnoliopsida; Poales; Poaceae. The record is from RNAcentral.